UAAAUUUAAAUUUAGUUUAAUAAAUUAAUUAUUAAAUUUAUUUAUAUAUAAAAUUAAAAAAAAAUACUUAUUUUAAAUAAAUAAAUCUUUAAUUUAAUAAAUAUAAUUAAAAUAUAUAAGUAAUUAUUAUUUAGAAAUUAUAUAAAAUAUAGGUUAAUUUUGUGCCAGCAUCAGCGGUUAAACAAAAUAUAUAAAUUAAUUUUAUUAAUUUAUUAUAAAAAUAAAACAAUAUAUUAAUAAUUAUAAUAAUAAUUUUUAGAUUAAAUAAAAAUUAUUAAUAAUAUUAUUAAAAUUAAUAAAUUUAAAAUAAUAAAAUAUUUAAAUAAACUAGGAUUAGAUACCCUAUUAUUAAUAAUGAAAUAAAAAUAAUUAAGUAAUAAAUUUAAAAUAUUAAAAUUUAAAAAUUAUGACGGUAUUAUAAUCUAAUUAGAGGAACUUGUAGCAUAAUUGAUACUCCACGAUAGGAUAAAUUUACUGUUAAAUAUUUUUGUAUGUUCGUUAUGAAAAAAUUUAUUAAUAAAUUAAAUUUUUUAACUUUAUUAUAAUAAUUUAUUUCAGAUCAAUAUAAAAUUUUAUAGUAAAAGUUUAAUGAGUUACUAUUUACUUUAAAUAAAUAUUAUUUAACUUUAAAAAUUUAAAUUUAAAUGAAUUUAAUAGUAAUAAAUAAAAAUAAUUAUUUAUGAAUUUAGUUUUAUAAUAUGUACAUAUUGCCCGUCACUUCUAGUUAAUAGAAUAAGUCGUAACAAAGUAAGUAUACUGGAAAGUGUACUUAGUAAUUA
This 779-nucleotide non-coding RNA is filed under the name Trichomalopsis sarcophagae. Lineage: Eukaryota; Metazoa; Arthropoda; Insecta; Hymenoptera; Pteromalidae. The record is from RNAcentral.